GACGAACGCUGGCGGCGUGCUUAACACAUGCAAGUCGAACGGAAAGGCCCUGCUUUUGUGGGGUGCUCGAGUGGCGAACGGGUGAGUAACACGUGAGUAACCUGCCCUUUACUUUGGGAUAACUUCAGGAAACUGGGGCUAAUACCGGAUAGGAGCUCCUGCUGCAUGGUGGGGGUUGGAAAGUUUCGGCGGUUGGGGAUGGACUCGCGGCUUAUCAGCUUGUUGGUGGGGUAGUGGCUUACCAAGGCUUUGACGGGUAGCCGGCCUGAGAGGGUGACCGGCUACAUUGGGACUGCGGUACGGCCCAGACUCCUACGGGAGGCAGCAGUGGGAAAUAUUGCACAAUGGGCGGAAGCCUGAUGCAGCAACGCAGCGUGCGCGAUAACGGCCUUCGGGUUGUAAGCCGCUUUCGCCUGUGACGAAGCGUGAGUGACGGUAAUGGGUACAGAAGCACCGGCUAACUACGUG
Molecule: ribosomal RNA, 468 nt
Filed under: uncultured bacterium
Lineage: Bacteria
Description: partial 16S ribosomal RNA
Rfam family: Bacterial small subunit ribosomal RNA
Source: RNAcentral